Molecule: long non-coding RNA, 863 nt
Filed under: Vulpes vulpes (red fox)
Lineage: Eukaryota; Metazoa; Chordata; Mammalia; Carnivora; Canidae
Description: lncRNA (ENSVVUG00000012404.1)
Source: RNAcentral
GGCUGAACUGAAUAACAUCCCCUGGCCUCCCCACUACCCACUAGGUAUACACUUUCAGUUACACAGGUUCUAGAACGCGAUAGUAUAGUAUCGUAUCUACAGUUAACGAUACCAGAUUGUAUAGUUAAAAAUUUGUUAGGAGAGUCCAUCUCAUGUUAAAUAUUCCCACUACAAUAGAAACAAGUCUUCCUGAAGUUUAUCUCUAAGAAGAAAGUGUAGGUUGAAUUGUCCCAUACACAGUUGUAUCCCCUUGAGAGAAGCAAUUGUUCCUGGUCCCUGGGAGUCUCAGCUUCCUGAAUGGCCUCUGGCCUGAGAAGGAAUUCCUUGUGCCCAGAAUCUGGCAGGCUGACUUGGCUGGCGUGGCUUCUGCAUCAGUCAGGGUCCCAGCAGAAAACAGAUGGCUCACUUGCUGGGUAACUGAGGAGGGUUUAAUACAGGACUUGUUCUCAAAGACAUAGGCUGGGUUUGAGAAAUCCGCAAGGCUCUUUUUUACAAUAGCCAAGAAGUGGAAGCAACUCAAGUGUCCAUUGAUAGCUGAAUGGAUAAACAAAAUGUGGUAUAGACAUAUCCUGGAAUAUUAUUCAGAUUUAAAAAGGAAGGAAAUUCUGACGCAGCCUGCAAUAUGGAUGAAUCUUGAGGACAUCAUGGUAUGUGAAAAAACCUGACACAAAAGGAUAAAUAUUGUUUGAUUUUACUGAUAAAAGGUACCUGGAGUAACUGGAUUCAGUUACUGGAUAUGGAAAAUAGAAUAGUAGCGGCCAGACUCUAGGGGCAGAGCAAGAGUUUUGGUUUUGUGGGAUGAAAGGAGCCUGGGGAUGCAUGGUGGCGUUGGUUAUACAACAGUGUGACUGUAUGUAAUGCCA